Molecule: non-coding RNA, 306 nt
Organism: Arabidopsis lyrata subsp. lyrata
Lineage: Eukaryota; Viridiplantae; Streptophyta; Magnoliopsida; Brassicales; Brassicaceae
Rfam family: Plant signal recognition particle RNA
Source: Rfam
GUCGAGCUAAGUAACGAGAGCUUGUGACCCGAGUGGGGAUAUCAAGGUGGUGGAACAAUGGUUCGAGUCCACGGGUCGGAUCUGGUGUUGGCAAGUUUCUGAACUGCCCAGUCCAAGCUGUGAGUAAUCCGUGUGGGUCGAGCGAAGGCUUGGCUUAGGCGGGUUCUAUAGUCGGAGGGUAAUGCGUGAGGCUGGUUUCACAGAGCAGCGACUACUUCCCGCUUACAGCAGUGGACGGACCACAGUUCGGCGUCGCCCAGAUCCACUUUGGCCUGCUGGUUCGAUCUCACCUGAACCACCAUUUUU